UAAGACGAAGGCGUGAUGCGGAGCGAAAUGAAGUAGUGAAGCUGCGGCCCCUUCCUGUCGAGAAAAGCCGCUAUCGUGUAGCAAGGGCCCGUACCGUAAACCGACACAGGUGGAUGAGGAGAGGAUCCUAAGGCCGGCGGGAGAAGUGUUGUUAAGGAACUCGGCAAAAUGACUCCGUAACUUCGGGAGAAGGAGUGCUGCGAGAGCAGCCGCAGAGAAAUGGCCCAAGCAACUGUUUAGCAAAAACACAGGUCUAUGCGAAACCGGAAGGUGAGGUAUAUGGGCUGACGCCUGCCCGGUGCUGGAAGGUUAAGGGGAGAGCUUAGCAUAAGCGAAGGUUUGAACUUAAGCCCCAGUAAACGGCGGCCGUAACUAUAACGGUCCUAAGGUAGCGAAAUUCCUUGUCGGGUAAGUUCCGACCCGCACGAAAGGCGUAAUGAUUUGGGCACUGUCUCAACAACACACCCGGUGAAAUUGAAAUACCAGUGAAGAUGCUGGUUACCCGCGCCAGGACGGAAAGACCCCAUGGAGCUUUACUCCAGCCUGAUACUGGGAUUCGGUAUUGCAUGUACAGGAUAGGUGGGAGGCUAAGAACUUAUGGCGCCAGCCGUAAGGGAGCCGAUGUUGGGAUACCACCCCUGCAGUACUGGGUUUCUAACCUGCGCCCGUGACCCGGGCGGGGGACAAUGUCAGGCGGGGAGUUUGACUGGGGCGGUCGCCUCCGAAAGGGUAUCGGAGGCGCUCAAAGGUCUCCUCAGGAUGGUUGGAAACCAUCCAGAGAGUGCAAAGGCAGAAGGAGGCUUGACUGCGACACCGGCGGGUGGAGCAGGUACGAAAGUAGGACUUAGUGAUCCGGUGGCAUAAAGUGGGAUUGCCAUCGCUCAACGGAUAAAAGCUACCCUGGGAUAACAGGCUUAUCACUCCCAAGAGUCCACAUCGACGGAGUGGUUUGGCACCUCGAUGUCGGCUCAUCGCAUCCUGGAGCUGGAGCAGGUUCCAAGGGUUGGGCUGUUCGCCCAUUAAAGCGGUACGCGAGCUGGGUUCAGAACGUCGUGAGACAGUUCGGUCCCUAUCCGGCGCGGGCGCAGGAUAUCUGAGAGGAGCUGUCCUUAGUACGGGAGGACCGGGAUGGACCGUCCGCUGGUGGACCGGUUGUCAUGCCAAUGGCACGGCCGGGUAGCCAAGACGGGAAGGGAUAAACGCUGAAGGCAUCUAAGCGUGAAGCCCCCCUCAAGAUGAGAUAUCCAUACUCGAAAGAGUGAGAGACCCCUUAGAGACGAUGAGGUAGAUAGGGCAGAGAUGGAAGCACAGCGAUGUGUGGAGUUGACUGUUACUAAUCGGUCGAAAGCUU
This 1351-nucleotide ribosomal RNA is filed under the name metagenome. RNAcentral's name for it is "bacterial LSU rRNA". It matches the Rfam family "Bacterial large subunit ribosomal RNA", at positions 1551 to 2925 of the family's 2925-position model. The record is from RNAcentral.